RNAcentral lists this long non-coding RNA (282 nucleotides) under Lathyrus oleraceus (garden pea). Its description in RNAcentral is "Pisum sativum (pea) long non-coding RNA (PSAT_LNC033979)". The record is from RNAcentral. Lineage: Eukaryota; Viridiplantae; Streptophyta; Magnoliopsida; Fabales; Fabaceae.
AAACACCUUCUCUCCACCAACAACGACAAGCUUUUCGUUCUUCACAAAUUUAAGCCUCCGGUGUAGAGUAGAUGUCAUAGCUCCUGCUUCAUGAAUCCAUGGUCUUCCCAAUAAACAACUAUAGGCCGGGUGAAUAUCCAUCACUUAAAAAGUAAUAUGAAAAUCACUCAAACCUAUCUUUACUGGAAGGUCCACUUCACUAAUGACGGUUUUACGAGAACCAUCAAACGCCUUAACAAUCACACCAUUGUACCUCAUAGGGGAACCUUGAUAGGAAUGUUU